CACAGGAACCUCACUUUAUGUAAAUUGGGGGAGAUCUCCACCCUCACACUUGUUCACAGCGGUACUACAGAGCCGUUUAAGACUUCAGGCCCUGCUGUGAUGCUUCUUCCCUCCCAAGCCCGGCUCCAGUACCUGCCAGCGGAGCCGCCUUGGUGUCACUUCCUUUGCCCUCACUAAACCUCAGGUUCCUUAUUUAUGAAAUGAGCUUGGUGUCCUGUCUACUUCACAGGAUGCUGGUAAAGAUCAAACGGGGUGAUCCAGGUGUGCCCUGAAGUGCUGCACCAGCCAUUUAGCAGCCCUCACCGUGUGCCACCUGCACAUGGCCUGGAGUGGCAAAGCCCCUGAAGACACUGAAGCUGUUGACCUUUUCCUCUUCUUCAGGAACAUGGUCCGUCGAGUUAUUUUCCUUCACCAUCCACAAAUAAAAAAAGACGUUGUUAUUAGCUUCAAAAUAGCUCUUUCCCCAAUGGGAAAUUUCUGGUGACAGUCGCUACGGAAACACAGGCCCAUCGGGCAGGGCUCUGGGCCAGCAUCUGGAAGGCAGAGACGGGGUUUCGUUAUGUUGCCCAGACUGGUCUCAAACUCCUGGGCUCAAGUGAUCCAGCAGCCUCAGGCUCCCAAAGUGCUGGGAUUACAGAUGAAGAAUGUGAGGUUCGGCCACUUGGAGGGUCCUGCCCAAGGUCACACAGCCAGCAGAUCGGAUGAAAGAAGAGGGGUGAUUUCUCCAUGGUCACAUGUCUAGUUGGCGACAGAAGUGGGAUUCAAGCCCAGUUCUGUCUUAAUUCAUAGCUUAUUCCUGUUCGACUUCACCCUGCUGCCUCGAAGAUAAAGUCGAGAUCAGGAGAGCGGAAUGCUAGCUUCCCCAGAGGAACAUGUGGUCUCAUUUUCUGAUUAGGGAUAGUUCACAAAAUUCAUGAUCUGGUCACCAGAGGAUAAGAACCAACCAGGUUAAUGUAAAGAAAAUGCUCAGCUGCAGCUGUUUAAUGAGCAACUCAAAGCUUUGUAUAAGGUGACUGACCUCAUCAGCAAGCCGGGUAACCACCCUGAUGCUUUUAGCUCUUGAUUUUACAGGGACUCAGAGAGGUCGAGGUAACUAGCCCAAGGCCACACAGCUAGCUCCUAGAACAGCUAUGUGGAGAUCUGAUCUGUGUGCCUCCAAAGCCUGUUUUCCCCCAAGUCGUUUCAUGGAGGCAUUGAUAGGUCCUGGGGCCAAAUUGCAAAGCCAUCUAAUCGGCGUUCGGUCUCAUCCCACUCCCACAGGAAUUUGCUGUCGGAUCCUUGGUAGCAAAUUUCUUUCUUUUUUUCUAUUAGAUGCAGGUUGUACAUGCGCAGGUAUAUCUGGGAACAUUGUGUGAAGCUGAGGCUGAGGGUACAAAUAAUCCUAUCGCCCAGGUACUAAGUAUAGUGUACCCAACAGUUUUUCAGCCCUUGCUCCUCUCCCUUCCUCCCCACUCUAGUAGUCCCCAGUGCAUACUCUUCCCAUCUUUAUGUCCAUGAGUAGCCAAUGUUUAGCUCCCGCUUACAAGUGAGAACAUGUAGUAUUUGAUUUUCUGCUCCUAUGUUAAUUUGCUUGCAAUAAUGGCCUCCAGCUUCAUCCACGUUGUUGCAGAGGACAUAAUUUUGUUUUUUUUCUAUGGCUGCAUAGUAUUCCAUGGUGUAUGUGUGGUGUAUAUUCUUUUUUUUUUUUUUUUUUU
Non-coding RNA from Callithrix jacchus (white-tufted-ear marmoset), 1694 nucleotides. The record is from RefSeq and is a predicted model, not a curated record. NCBI's taxonomy places the organism in Eukaryota, Metazoa, Chordata, Mammalia, Primates, Cebidae.